Molecule: ribosomal RNA, 416 nt
Filed under: uncultured Pelagibacterales bacterium
Lineage: Bacteria; Pseudomonadati; Pseudomonadota; Alphaproteobacteria; Candidatus Pelagibacterales
Description: bacterial SSU rRNA
Rfam family: Bacterial small subunit ribosomal RNA
Source: RNAcentral
CGGCACGCCUAACACAUGCAAGUCGAACGAAGUAGCAAUACUUAGUGGCAGACGGGUGAGUAACAUGUAGGUAUCUGCCCUUUGGCCUGGAAUAACACGAGGAAACUUGUGCUAAUACCGGAUAAGUCUUUACGGAGAAAGCUUUAUGCACCAUUGGAUGAGCCUGCACUUGAUUAGUUUGUUGGUAGGGUAAUGGCCUACCAAGACUGUGAUCAAUAGCUGAUUUGAGAGGAUGAUCAGCCACAUUGGGACUGAGACACGGCCCAAACUCCUACGGGAGGCAGCAGUGGGGAAUCUUGCACAAUGGAGGAAACUCUGAUGCAGCGAUGCCGCGUGAGUGAAGAAGGCCUUUGGGUUGUAAAGCUCUUUCGUCGGGGAAGAAAAUGACUGUACCCGAAUAAGAAGGUCCGGCUAAC